This 363-nucleotide ribosomal RNA is filed under the name Eurycope cornuta. RNAcentral describes it as "partial 16S ribosomal RNA". It matches the Rfam family "Archaeal large subunit ribosomal RNA", at positions 2044 to 2629 of the family's 2987-position model. Lineage: Eukaryota; Metazoa; Arthropoda; Malacostraca; Isopoda; Munnopsidae. The record is from RNAcentral.
AUUUGUCUUAUAAUUGAAGGCUGGAAUGAAAGAGUUGACGGUGCCUUGGCUUUCUAACAAAAAAAUAUUGAACUUGAUAUCCACCUAAAAAAGUGUGGCUUUCUAAAGGGACGAUAAGACCCUAUAAAGCUUCACCGGGUAAAUUAUUUAUAACUAGGGCCCCAAAAUAGUAACUCUGGUUCAGCUGGGGCGGCAUUUAAUACUCAUUAAAAAAUAAAACAAUUAUUUUUGAAACGAAAGAUCUUAAGAAAGAAGUAGACUAAGCUACUUUAGGGAUAACAGCAUAAUUCCUUAUUAUAGAUCCUAUAGAUUAAUGAGACUUGUGACCUCGAUGUUGAAUUGGGGAGCUCUCUUCGGGCAGUU